ACGUUCGGGUAAUCGCUAUGCCUCUCUUUUGAGGUGUAGAGGAAAGUCCAUGCUCGCACGGUUCUGAGAUGACCGUAGUGAUCGCGCCUGGCCAAAAAAUAAGCCAGGGCAGUCUGGUUUCGACUGGGCUGACGGCAGGGAAAUCACCUAAGUCCAUACGGAUAUGGUGAUACGACCUUGAAAGUGCCACAGUGACGUAGUCCUUCCGGAAACGGCAGGAGUGGAACGAGGUAAACCCCGCGAGCGAGAAACCCAAAUUAUGGUAGGGGAGUUUCUCACGAAGGAAAUGAACUUUGUGAGAGAGCGUCCAGCAGCAUGCUGGAUGGAGAUAGAUGAUUACCACCGGUGUACGAGGCUGAUUGCCGUCUGCAGUACUAAGGUACAGAACAUGGCUUACAGAA
Molecule: RNase P RNA, 401 nt
Filed under: Fictibacillus aquaticus
Lineage: Bacteria; Bacillati; Bacillota; Bacilli; Caryophanales; Fictibacillaceae
Description: Bacterial RNase P class B
Rfam family: Bacterial RNase P class B
About the family: Ribonuclease P (RNase P) is a ubiquitous endoribonuclease, found in archaea, bacteria and eukarya as well as chloroplasts and mitochondria. Its best characterised activity is the generation of mature 5'-ends of tRNAs by cleaving the 5'-leader elements of precursor-tRNAs.
Source: Rfam by way of RNAcentral